AGUGGAUGGGGAGCAACCUAGUUGUGCGUGUGUAAAGGUAGUGCCAAGAAAAGCGAUGAUCAUGUUGAAAAUCAAUUCCCGGUACCCGAAACCGACACAGGUGGGCAAGUAGAGAAUACUAAGGGGCGCGAGGUAACUCUCUCCAAGGAACUCGGCAAAAUGACCCCGUAACUUAGGGAGAAGGGGUGCCACCGAGAGGUGGUCGCAGUGAAGAGGCCCAGGCGACUGUUUGGCAAAAACAUAGGUCUCUGCAAACUCGAAAGAGGAGGUAUAGGGGCUGACGCCUGCCCAGUGCCGGAAGGUUAAAGAAGUUGGUCAGUUUUAGGAUGAAGCUAGCGACUGAAGCCCCGGUGAACGGCGGCCGUAACUAUAACGGUCCUAAGGUAGCGAAAUUCCUUGUCGGGUAAGUUCCGACCCGCACGAAAGGCGUAACGAUCUGGGCGCUGUCUCGGAUAGAGGCUCGGCGAAAUAGGAUUGUCUGUGAAGAUACGGACUACCUGCAUUUGGACAGAAAGACCCUAUGAAGCUUUACUAUAGCUUGGAAUUGUGUUCGGGCUUCCUGUGCGCAGGAUAGGUGGGAGGAGUAGAAGGUAUUCUUGUGGGGAUACUGGAGCCAACGGUGAGAUACCACUCUCAGGAGGCUAGAAUUCUAACUUAAUUAAGGACAGUUUCAGGUGGGUAGUUUGACUGGGGCGGUCGCCUCCAAAAAGGUAACGGAGGCGUACAAAGGUUCCCUCAGACUGGUUGGAAAUCAGUCGAAGAGUGCAAAGGCAGAAGGGAGCUUGACUGCGAGAAGUACAGUUCGAGCAGGGUGGAAACACGGUCUUAGUGAUCCGACGGUGCUGUGUGGAAGGGCCGUCGCUCAACGGAUAAAAGUUACUCUAGGAUAACAGGCUGAUCUCCCCCAAGAGUUCACAUCGACGGGGAGGUUUGGCACCUCGAUGUCGGCUCAUCGCAACCUGGGGCGGAAGUACGUCCCAAGGGAUGGGCUGUUCGCCCAUUAAAGCGGUACGUGAGCUGGGUUCAGAACGUCGUGAGACAGUUCGGUCCAUAUCCGAUGUAGGCGUGAGAAUAUUGAGAGGAGCCUUCCUCAGUACGAGAGGACCGGGAAGGACGCACCGCUGGUGUACCUGUUAUGAUGCCAAUUGUAAACGCAGGGUAGCCAAGUGCGGAGAGGAUAACCGCUGAAAGCAUCUAAGUGGGAAGCCCACCUCAAGAUGAGUAUUCUGGUGUAAGGUCACGGGAAGACGACCCGUAAAUAGGCACGAGGUGGAAGUGCAGAGAUGUAUGAAGCCGAAGUGUACUAAUAGACCGUCGGCUUGACCG
This 1326-nucleotide ribosomal RNA is filed under the name metagenome. RNAcentral's name for it is "bacterial LSU rRNA". It matches the Rfam family "Bacterial large subunit ribosomal RNA", at positions 1561 to 2925 of the family's 2925-position model. The record is from RNAcentral.